GUCAUAUGCUUGUCUCAAAGAUUAAGCCAUGCAUGUCUCAGUACAAGCCAAAUUAAGGUGAAACCGCGAAAGGCUCAUUAAAUCAGUUAUGGUUCCUUAGAUCGUACCCACAAUUACUUGGAUAACUGUGGUAAUUCUAGAGCUAAUACAUGCAAACAGAGCUCCGACCGGAGACGGAAGGAGUGCUUUUAUUAGAUCAAAACCAAUCGGUGGCGGGUUCGCGCUCGUCAUCGUACAACUUGGUGACUCUGAAUAACUUUACGCUGAUCGCACGGUCAUCGCACCGGCGACGCGUCUUUCAAAUGUCUGCCUUAUCAACUGUCGAUGGUAGGUUCUGCGCCUACCAUGGUUGUAACGGGUAACGGGGAAUCAGGGUUCGAUUCCGGAGAGGGAGCCUGAGAAACGGCUACCACAUCCAAGGAAGGCAGCAGGCGCGCAAAUUACCCACUCCCGGCACGGGGAGGUAGUGACGAAAAAUAACGAUACGGGACUCAUCCGAGGCCCCGUAAUCGGAAUGAGUACACUCUAAACCCUUUAACGAGGAUCAAUUGGAGGGCAAGUCUGGUGCC
RNAcentral lists this ribosomal RNA (569 nucleotides) under Trigonopterus bonthainensis. RNAcentral's name for it is "SSU rRNA". It matches the Rfam family "Eukaryotic small subunit ribosomal RNA", at positions 23 to 568 of the family's 1831-position model. The record is from RNAcentral. Lineage: Eukaryota; Metazoa; Arthropoda; Insecta; Coleoptera; Curculionidae.